GACGAACGCUGGCGGCGCGCUUAACACAUGCAAGUCGAACGGAAAGGCCUGCUUUCCCUUGUGGAUUGCGGGUACUCGAGUGGCGAACGGGUGAGUAACACGUGAGUGAUCUGCCCCCAACUUGGGUAUAAGCCUGGGAAACUGGGUCUAAUUCCCGAUAGGACUGCAGGGUGGUGCCUGUGGUGGAAAACGAUUUUCUAGUGGUUGGGGAUGAGCUCGCGGCCUAUCAGCUUGUUGGUGGGGUAAUGGCCUACCAAGGCGGCGACGGGUAGCCGGCCUGAGAGGGUGGACGGCCACAUUGAGACUGAGAUACGACCCAGACUCCUACGAGAAGCAGCAGUGGGGAAUAUUGCACAAUGAGCGGAAGCCUGAUGCAGCGACGCCGCGUGGGGGAUGACGGCCUUCGGGUUGUAAACUCCUUUCGACCGCGAGGAAGCCACCUGGUUGGAAGGGUGGUGACGGUAGUGAUAGAAGAAGCACCGGCUAACUACAUG
This 494-nucleotide ribosomal RNA is filed under the name uncultured bacterium. Its description in RNAcentral is "partial 16S ribosomal RNA". It matches the Rfam family "Bacterial small subunit ribosomal RNA", at positions 28 to 507 of the family's 1533-position model. The record is from RNAcentral.